RNAcentral lists this RNase P RNA (412 nucleotides) under Sphingomonas sp. Its description in RNAcentral is "RNase P RNA component class A". It matches the Rfam family "Bacterial RNase P class A". Rfam says of the family: Ribonuclease P (RNase P) is a ubiquitous endoribonuclease, found in archaea, bacteria and eukarya as well as chloroplasts and mitochondria. The record is from RNAcentral. Lineage: Bacteria; Pseudomonadati; Pseudomonadota; Alphaproteobacteria; Sphingomonadales; Sphingomonadaceae. RNAcentral also lists the same sequence under 1 other name.
CCAGAGGAUCGGGCGACCGCGGGUGGGCUAUGGCCUGCGCGAGGAAAGUCCGGGCUCCACGAAACGACGAUGCCGGAUAACGUCCGGCGGCCCGGGCGCAAGCCGGGGUCAGGGAAAGUGCCACAGAGAGCAAACCGCCUCGGCCAAGCCCAUGGCUGGAUCAGAGGUAAGGGUGAAAGGGUGCGGUAAGAGCGCACCGCGCGGCUGGUAACAGGCGUGGCAGGGCAAACCCCAUCGGGAGCAAGACCGAAUAGGGGCGGCAUGUGGGCGUUUCGCCGACAGGGCAUGUUUCGGCCCGUCGCCCGGGUUGGUUGCUUGAGCCGUUCCGCAAGGACCGGCCUAGAGGAAUGGUCGCCAAACCUGUGCCCCGCGCACAGGUGAACAGAACCCGGCUUAUAGAUCCUCUGGCGGA